This 253-nucleotide ribosomal RNA is filed under the name uncultured bacterium. RNAcentral's name for it is "partial 16S ribosomal RNA". It matches the Rfam family "Bacterial small subunit ribosomal RNA", at positions 524 to 776 of the family's 1533-position model. The record is from RNAcentral.
UACGUAGGGUGCGAGCGUUAAUCGGAAUUACUGGGCGUAAAGCGUGCGCAGGCUGGCAGGUAAGUCAGUGGUGAAAUCUCUCGGCUCAACCGAGAAACUGCCAUUGAUACUGUAGGACUUGAAUUCGGUCGAAGUGGGCGGAAUAUGACAUGUAGCGGUGAAAUGCUUAGAUAUGUCAUAGAACACCGAUAGCGAAGGCAGCUCACUAGGCCUGGAUUGACGCUCAGGGACGAAAGCGUGGGGAGCAAACAGG